This 65-nucleotide transfer RNA is filed under the name Eremias scripta (Sand racerunner). Its description in RNAcentral is "tRNA-Tyr". It matches the Rfam family "tRNA". From Rfam's summary of the family: Transfer RNA (tRNA) molecules are approximately 80 nucleotides in length. Their secondary structure includes four short double-helical elements and three loops (D, anti-codon, and T loops). Further hydrogen bonds mediate the characteristic L-shaped molecular structure. tRNAs have two regions of fundamental functional importance: the anti-codon, which is responsible for specific mRNA codon recognition, and the 3' end, to which the tRNAs corresponding amino acid is attached (by aminoacyl-tRNA synthetases). tRNAs cope with the degeneracy of the genetic code in two manners: having more than one tRNA (with a specific anti-codon) for a particular amino acid; and 'wobble' base-pairing, i.e. permitting non-standard base-pairing at the 3rd anti-codon position. The record is from RNAcentral. Lineage: Eukaryota; Metazoa; Chordata; Lepidosauria; Squamata; Lacertidae.
GGUAGAGUGGCUGAGGAAAGCGUAGGGCUGUAAACCCUAGUACGGAGAUUAGACUCCCCCUAUCA